Non-coding RNA from Camellia sinensis, 1370 nucleotides. The record is from RefSeq and is a predicted model, not a curated record. Lineage: Eukaryota; Viridiplantae; Streptophyta; Magnoliopsida; Ericales; Theaceae.
AGCUCCACUUGAGCGGGCCCUGGCCACUCUCCAUGGGGUACUAACUUCUAGGUACUAACUUCUGAAUGGCGUCACUCACUCAUAAACUCAUAUAUUCACACAAACAUCCAAGAUACAACUGUGGGAGGCAAUCAAAGAUCAAAACUCAAACUUUCAACUACUCCUUUUAGAAAUUUGAUUUUCAUUGAAACGAAAGACCAUUUUGUGCUUCCCAAUUUCUUAUGCUAAUGUCUCGCAAACAAGAAGAGACCACCAUAAAGGUCACUAACAUCAUAUCAUCUUCCAGGAAAUGUUUUCUCGCAAUUUGUAUCGUCGUCUCAAUCACUUUCUUCUCUUAUUCAACUUUCUCUCGCCAUCCUGGCUGGCUCGGUUACUCAAAAUCCAACCCAAAUUUUUUACAUUUCGAUCACACCACAAAAAUCAGCACAGACACAUCUCUGUUAGGCUCUGAACAACAAACCAACAUAUCACACAUAGUCUUCGGUAUCAGCAGCUCCGUAAAAACAUGGACUGGUCGCCGCGACUACUGUGAGUUAUGGUGGAAACCCAACAUCACCCGUGGGUUCGUAUGGCUCGACGAAAAGCCCCCCGACAACGUAACAUGGCCAAACACAUCACCACCGUACAUGGUUUCCCAAAACACGUCGAGGUUCAAGUACACGUGCUGGUACGGUGCACGAUAUGCCAUUCGAAUAGCGAGGAUUGUGAAAGAGAGUUUCGAAUUGGGGUUAGAGAAUGUGAGGUGGUUCGUGAUGGGGGACGAUGAUACGGUGUUUUUCCUGGAGAAUUUGGUGACGGUUUUAGGAAAAUAUGAUCAUAAUCAGAUGUAUUAUAUUGGUGGCAAUUCGGAGAGCGUUGAACAAGAUGUUAUUCAUUCGUAUGCUAUAGCUUAUGGCGGUGGUGGGUUUGCGGUGAGUUAUGCGUUAGCGGCGGAGCUUGUGAGGAUUUUGGAUGGGUGUAUUGAUCGGUACGCAGAGCUCUACGGCGGUGAUCAGAAGGUUGGGGCUUGUGUGACUGAGCUUGGGGUGCCACUCACUGUAGAGCUUGGUUUCCAUCAGGUAUCCGGCUUCUAUCGCUGGUCUGCGUCCACCGACUAAUCCUCAGAAGGGGCAAUCACAGCAUCCCACCGCCGCGGCCCCCCACUUAUAUUUUCUAGUUGGGCAUCCAAACAGAGUUGAAGAGGUGUUAUUGGAUGUUGGUGGGUUCAUAUUUGAGAAUCUAAGACUAUCCAGGUUGAUUUAAAAGGAGACCCAUAUGGGUUACUAGCAGCACACCCGGUGGCGCCACUAGUCUCCCUGCACCACGUAGACUCCAUGCAACCACUCUUUCCCAUGCCUAACAAAGCUUGACUCCCCUUAAAAACUGGUCCA